AGGAAAUAGAUACCCCNGGUAGUCCACGCCCUAAAACGAUGUCGACUAGGUGUUCGGUGAGGAGACUCAUUGAGUACCGCAGCUAACGCGUGAAGUCGACCGCCUGGGGAGUACGGUCGCAAGAUUAAAACUCAAAGGAAAUUGACGGGGACCCGCACAAGCGGUGGAUGAUGUGGAUUAAUUCGAUGCAACGCGAAAAACCUUACCUACCCUUGACAUGUACGGAACCCUGCUGAGAGGUGGGGGUGCUCGAAAGAGAGCCGUAACACAGGUGCUGCAUGGCUGUCGUCAGCUCGUGUCGUGAGAUGUUGGGUUAAGUCCCGCAACGAGCGCAACCCUUGUCAUUAGUUGCUACGCAAGAGCACUCUAAUGAGACUGCCGGUGACAAACCGGAGGAAGGUGGGAUGACGUCAAGUCCUCAUGGCCCUUAUGGGUAGGGCUUCACACGUCAUACAAUGGUCGGUACAGAGGGUUGCCAAGCCGCGAGGUGGAG
Molecule: ribosomal RNA, 493 nt
Filed under: uncultured bacterium
Lineage: Bacteria
Description: bacterial SSU rRNA
Rfam family: Bacterial small subunit ribosomal RNA
Source: RNAcentral